GUGAACUUUGCCAUUUUCCGUGUAUAUAUUUUAUGUGACAAUUCUUUACUUAAAAAGAUAUUUUUCGCUGGUGUAUACUAACUGAAAGUCAUGUGAUUCACUAUGGUGGAGUUGACCAGUGCGUCGAAAAAACGUCACUCAGUCAUUUUGAAAUUUAAAUUACUGUCACAAAUUGCUUAGGCUGAGCAUGACAAUCUUAACACCUUCCGAAGGCGACACAGGAUUUAGCAAGAACGUAUUGACUUCUAUUUCAU
This 254-nucleotide long non-coding RNA is filed under the name Mytilus galloprovincialis (Mediterranean mussel). Lineage: Eukaryota; Metazoa; Mollusca; Bivalvia; Mytilida; Mytilidae. The record is from RNAcentral.